Oncorhynchus tshawytscha (Chinook salmon) is the source of this 1367-nucleotide long non-coding RNA. NCBI's taxonomy places the organism in Eukaryota, Metazoa, Chordata, Actinopteri, Salmoniformes, Salmonidae. The record is from Ensembl.
UAUGAACACUUACUUACAUUGGUCCUCCUCUCCUUCCACAGACGACAAGCGUUACAUUCGGUCAAAAGAGAUUAGACUAAUAAAGGAAAUAGAGACAGUAACAGCGCAGGUAGAUGGUAAUGGAAACUGUACUAUAGAGGCACAAAAUAGGUUGGAGGAAAAACAAAAAGAACUGGAGCAGACAUGGAGCCCAGGUUCAGAAAACUGACAUAUCGAAGCCUUGUCUUAACAGACAAUAAGGAUUCCAGGAUUUACAGGACAAAAACUACUAAAAGAGCAGGGCUGGGCUGUACUGCUCAGAGGUGGCAACCCAGUAAGCUAGGCACAUUUGCUGGGUCAGCAUGAGAUGCAGUUGGGCCUUUAUAAGGAGCAGUCCUUCAAGUGGGUGGUUAAAAAUGUGCUGGGCUGGGUAUUUGGUGGCAUCAAUGCACAAAGAAUCUGCCUCUCAGCAAGUUUGGAGUAAUUUCAAAAACCAUGCUAUGAAUAAGAUGGCUUUCAAGGAAUACAUGGAGCUCUUCCUUGAGGGCCGGGAUGCUAUCCGGAUUAAGUCCAACAAAAAGACAUCCUCCACCACCCAGCCAUCCUUCAACACCCAUGUGUAUUUCAGGAAUCUGUUGGCCCAGACAACUUCAGAGGUUAUGGUGCAAUCCAGGACUUUGCUGAUUACCUGGUCACACACCGUUUUCAUGGCCCUCAGCAUGCAAGAAUGCACCCUUAUUAGCCACCUGUGGAAUGCUCUGGGGGACUAUGACUUAAUUAAAUCUGAACACAAAAGCCCUUAGCUGAAUGCUUUAAUUACAUUUGACCAAUUCAUGUCAGUCUUGUCAGAAUGCUACAUUGCCUGAACAAUUUUAUUUUGAUGUGUGCAUAUUGUAAAUUCUUAUUAGGUCCACUGAUUUCAAACAAUUGGACAACUGUAGGCAUACUCGCCAUCUCACGUUUCUGCAAUUCUGUGUAUCUUCAAUAAGGCUAUUUUAUUGAUUUACCAUCAAAACAAAAGUGAAAAUUAAGAUUUGAUGUUAACAGACUAUAAUAUAUUGGGACAAACCAAAAUGUACUCCUGUGGUGUAUUGGAUAACAUGUACCCUUCUGGGUAUAAGAAUCAGGUUCAAAUUCUGAUGGGGGUGAGUGGUUUGACAAAAAAUGACCGGUUUUCAUAUUAUGAAGUUAUGGAUGAUGAUGACAGAUUUACGGGGUAAGAUGAGCGAGUAAUGUCGGCAGAAUUGUUACACGGUUCUAAAUUCAAUCACCUUCAUCCUCAUCAUUCAGUUAAUUGAAAUUCAAUUUUGUCAUGCACAAUUAUCAGUUUCUAUUUGGUUUAUGUUGCCCAUUCAUUGUCAGUUAAAGACACAGUAGUGCCUUGGGAC